UCCCGCCUGCCCAGUGACUCUUUAAACGGCCGCGGUAUCCUAACCGUGCAAAGGUAGCAUAAUCACUUGUCCCCUAAAUAGAGACUAGAAUGAACGGCUAAAUGAGGACAAAACUGUCUCUUACGGACCAGCCAAUGAAAUUGAUCUUCCAGUACAAAAGCUGGAAUAAACCCACAAGACGAGAAGACCCUGUGGAGCUUUAAAACCAAAACCACCAAGCAUGCUUCUUGGUUUUUUAGUUGGGGCGACUUUGGAGAAAAAACUAACCUCCAAAAAUAAACCUGUUUAUUAAGAAUAAUACACCAAAAAUAAUUAAAUAGACCCAGCAACAUUUUCAUGUUGUCUGACCAAUAAACCAAGUUACCCCAGGGAUAACAGCGCCAUCCUCUUCUAGAGUCCUUAUCGACAAGAGGGUUUACGACCUCGAUGUUGGAUCAGGACACCCCUAUAGUGCAGCCGCUAUAAACGGUUCGUUUGUUCAACGAUUAAAGUCCUACGUGAUCU
Molecule: ribosomal RNA, 504 nt
Filed under: Podarcis hispanicus (Iberian wall lizard)
Lineage: Eukaryota; Metazoa; Chordata; Lepidosauria; Squamata; Lacertidae
Description: partial 16S ribosomal RNA
Rfam family: Bacterial large subunit ribosomal RNA
Source: RNAcentral